UUCUAGUUCUGUCUGUCUCUUCCUGGUUAUGGAUUCUAGUUCUGUCUGUCUCUUCCUGGUUAUGGAUUCUAGUUCUGCCUGUCUCUUCCUGGUUAUGGAUUCUAGUUCUGCCUGUCUCUUCCUGGUUAUGGAUUCCAUUGCUAUCUGUGUUUAGUUCUGUCUUCGUUUUAAGAAUUAUGUCGUCAGUUAAUGGAGAAAGAAAGAGAAAGCAUGUCUUGUGUUUAAAAUGUAAGAGUCUGAUCUGAUUCAUUUAUAUCAGGGCAAGCCGUAGAUAUACAUAACAGAGUUCUGGAAACUAUCCUCCAUUUCAGCUCCAAAUUUCCAAUCCCAAUCUCUAUGGAUAACUCUAUUUCUGGGUAAAUCUUUGAGUCUUCUUGGUUUUGCCCUCUCCCACGCCCUGAGUUUAUUUGCACAGUGACAGUGGACCAGGCCUGUCCCGUCUUAGAGAUGAAGUGCAGUGAGGAAAAAAAUAAUGUCAAAAAAUUUGUCCAAGUCAACGUGGAUUUCCUUGUUGUUAUUACUGUCAUCGUCCAAUUUGUGCUUCACUACAAAGCCUGAGAUUUGGAUUGAAUCCCAAAUGGUGUGCUGUAUGUUGCUCCUAGCCUGUGUGGUUGUCAGAUGUGUUUCAGCUUUUGCCCACUUUAGUAAGUAAACUGCUUUUGUUGACUCAAACAUUGGUUGGUUGUAGUGACAGUGCCAUUGUGUCAAUAAUGAGGAAAGCCAAAAUGCCAAAGGUUGGGCCUUUUGGCAAUUUGAAGAGAUCAUUAAAAAAAUGUUUUCUAGGACUCUUCUGUUGACGAUGUAUAAAAUGUAUGUUGGUCUGAUGUGUAUGAGGAAGGGAAUCCAGAUGUGUAUGAGGAAGGGAAUCCAGAUGUGUAUGAGGAAGGGAAUCCAGAUGUGUAUGAGGAAGAGAAUCCAGGUGUGUAUGAGGAAGGGAAUCCAGGUGUGUAUGAGGAAGGGAAUCCAGGUGUGUAUGAGGAAGGGAAUCCAGGUGUGUAUGAGGAAGGGAAUCCAGGUGUGUAUGAGGAAGGGAAUCCAGGUGUGUAUGAGGAAGGGAAUCCAGAUGUGUAUGAGGAAGGGAAUCCAGUUGUGUAUGAGGAAGGGAAUCCAGAUGUGUAUGAGGAAGGUUAUCCAGGUGUGUAUGAGGAAGAGAAUCCAGAUGUAGUACUGGAAGUAUUUGUAGAAAUAUUCCUGCCAGUUGUUGCCCAGCACCUGUUUAGUAUAUAACUGGAAGAACUGUUAGGGCCCCUGGAUCGAUGAUGAAUUUAAGAAUCGUAUGGUUCAAAGACACAAUGAAAAAGAGGUGACAUCACAAGUCAGGCUGCUCAGCUGAUUGGUUGACAUUCUGUAACUUGAGACAUUUUGUGACUAAACUUAACAAAAAUCAAUAAAUAAAAAUUAUAUUUCCAAACCAAGAUAAAUGACAUAAAACACAAUGGAAAAGGCUUUGGAGAACCUUAAAUUAUAUCAUGGGCAGAAAACCCAAUUCAUUUCCAUCGUUCAUUGAAGUUUAUGGAUAAUUUAUAACAAAACCUUUUGAUAUUAACCAAUCAUUUCAAUGACUAUUUAACUAGUAAAGUGGAAAAACUCAGAGGUGAAAUUAAAACAUUGAACAAGUGAACCAUCAUAUGUUUAUAUAAAAUAUCUAAUAAUGAAAAAGGAUUUUGCUGUUUUCAAUUUGGUCAAGUUAGUGUUGGAGAGGUGGAAAAACCAUUGUUAUCUAUCAAUAAUGAUAAGCCUAUAGGUAUAGACAACCAUGAUGGGGAACUAUAUAGAAUGGCAGCAGACUGUAUCGCCACCCCUAUUUGCUCUGUCUUUAACCAAAGCCUAAAGGAGUGGGUGUGUCCACAGGCGUGGAAGGAAGUUAAACCAAAUCCACUGCCUAAAAAUAGUAAAGCACCCUUUGCUGGCUCUAACAGCCGACCAAUCAGUUUGCUGCCUGUUCUUAUUAAACUGAUGGAGACAAUUGUGUUUGACCAAAUACAAUGCCAUUUUUCAGAGAACAAGUUAACUCCUGACUUUCAACAUGGGGCACUCAACUUGUACGGCACUGACUCAGAUGACUGAUGAUUGGUUAAAAGAAACGGAUAGUAAGAUAAUAGUCGGAGCUGAAAUGUUAGAUUUCAUUGAGGCCUUUGAUGUUUAUUGAAGAAACUCACUUGCUAUGGUUUUACAUCACCUGCCAUUGGAAUGGGUUAGAAUGUUGGAUAAAUUACAUUCCAUUGGGUUGGAAUGUUAUUUAUCCAAUAGGACCCAGAGAGUGUUCUUCAAUGGAAGCUUCUCUAACAUCAGAUAUGUACAGUGCGGUGUCCCUCAGGGCAGUUGACUUGGGCACUUCCUCUUCUCUAUUAUUCCAAAUGAGUUGCCACUGGUCUUACACAAAGCUACAAUGACUAAUGCUGAUGAUUCCACAGUCUACAUGUCAGCACCCAAAGCCAGUGAGCUCACUGAAAUUCUAGUUACAGUUAGUAUCAGAAUGGGUCAUUAAUACUGAACUGGUUUUUAAUAAAUAUAGAACUAAAAGCAUUGUGUUUGGUUCAAAAACAUUCUCUAAGACCUAAACCUAAACUGGAGUUGUACAUAAAGGGUGUGGAAGACGUGGAUGUCGAUUAAGGCAGCCCCCCGCACCUCUCUGAUUCAGAGUGGUUGGGUUAAAUGCGGAAGACACAUUUCAGUUUAAUACAUUCAGUUGGACAACUGACUAGGUAUCCCCCCUUUUCCCCAUUGAGCAAGUUGAGGAAGCUAAACUCUUAGCUUGUUAUAAAAACAUGUUCUGUAUUUUUGACACAAAGAUCAACUGAACUAGUUGUUCAGGCUCUGAUCUUGUCUGACCUUGAUAACCGUCCGCCAAUAUGGUCAAGUGUAUCAAAGAAAGACCAAGCAAAAGCUGUAGCUCAAAACAGAGCAUCACCUUUAAAGGCCCAUAUACAAUUAACAUCAACAACAUCAACUACAUCAACUAACAUCAACAACAUCAACUAACAACAUCAACUAACAUCAACUUUCCUGGUUGAGGAUUAACGAGAAAUUAACUACUUUUCUUCUAGUUUUUAUGAGAGAAAAAUUACUGUGAUGAAAACUGCAGAUUGUCUGCAUCAUCAAAUAACAUUCAGCUCAGACACCCCAUACAUACCCAACAAGACAUGCCACCAGGGGUCUCUUCAGACACCCCAUACAUACCCAACAAGACAUGCCACCAGGGGUCUCUUCAGACACCCCAUACAUACCCAACAAGACAUGCCACCAGGGGUCUCUUCAGCCACCCCAUACAUACCCAACAAGACAUGCCACCAGGGGUCUCUUCAGACACCCCAUACAUACCCAACAAGACAUGCCACCAGGGGUCUCUUCAGCCACCCCAUACAUACCCAACAAGACAUGACCAGGGGUCUCUUCAGACACCCCAUACAUACCCAACAAGACAUGCCACCAGGGGUCUCUUCAGACACCCCAUACAUACCCAACAAGACAUGCCACCAGGGGUCUCUUCAGCCACCCCAUACAUACCCAACAAGACAUGCCACCAGGGGUCUCUUCAGACACCCCAAACAUACCCAACAAGACAUGCCACCAGGGGUCUCUUCAGACACCCCAUACAUACCCAACAAGACAUGAAUUCUUCAGACACCCCAUACAUACCCAACAAGACAUGCCACCAGGGGUCUCUUCAGACACCCCAUACAUACCCAACAAGACAUGCCACCAGGGGUCUCUUCAGACACCCCAUACAUACCCAACAAGACAUGACC
Molecule: long non-coding RNA, 3749 nt
Organism: Oncorhynchus tshawytscha (Chinook salmon)
Lineage: Eukaryota; Metazoa; Chordata; Actinopteri; Salmoniformes; Salmonidae
Source: Ensembl